This is a long non-coding RNA of Passer domesticus (house sparrow), 2042 nucleotides long. RefSeq lists it as uncharacterized. The record is from RefSeq and is a predicted model, not a curated record. NCBI's taxonomy places the organism in Eukaryota, Metazoa, Chordata, Aves, Passeriformes, Passeridae. The transcript is spliced from 3 exons.
CACCCCACAGACGAGAGGAUCCCCCAGCAGCAAGAGAGGAGGGGACUGGGGUUGAUUUUCACAGAAUGACCAGGUUGGAACGCUGAGGGAAGGUCCUGCUGGGAUUCUCCUUAUUGGCCAAACAAAAGAAGCAAUGGAAUUACCAGAAUGUGCUCUUGAACAGCAGUUAAAUUAAUUAAUUCCAGGUACAGGAACCCCAGGAUCACCCCUCAGAGGGGAGGAUGCCCUGGCAGUGCCCCUUCUCCAGCCAUGGGUGCCCUUCCUGCCCCUCCCUGGCAGAAGCCACCCACACCGAGCAGAUCCCACACCGAGCAGAUCCACCAGGCUCUGCUACCACCACAGCAUCCCAGAGUGAACAAAGAAAAGCCGGGUUUAGCCCAGCUGAGCUGAACUUUAGCGCUGAGCCCGGUGCCACAUCGCCAUGGCAACAGCAAGGCCGCGCUGGGCAGGGCCUGACUGCUCUCCAGCCUCCAUCCCGGGUGCUUAAACCAUCAUUUUCCAUGGAAUCACGGCAUCACUGAGAACGAGCACGGCCCUUCUCCAGGAGAGGCUGGAGCAGCUGUGCAGAUGGCAGACAUCUGCCAGAGAAAUGCAUCAUCUUACAUCAUCUGGCACCGCUCCUGCCAGCUCAGAGCCGCUGAUUUGUCGCCCAACAAUUCCUCAUCAGAGACGAAACUCGGGUGAGGAGAGCUAAAGGCACACUAAAGGUGCUCUCCUCAUCCCAUCUGGGUGGCUGCAGUGGCAUUCAUGGCAACCUGGGACCUCCUAACCCUGGUGUGAAGAUGAAAGCCACCACAUCUGUUAUUGGUGGGUGCUUUGCAUGAAGAACCUGCCUGUGGAGCAGCAUCUUGUGUUUAGGAAAUCACCGAAUAUCACUUUAAUUCAGAGGAGCACGAGAGCAGCAGUAAAAACUGCCUAAAAAGCAAGGAUAGGUCCAUGAGCUCUGAAAAUCAUGGUCAGGACUGCAGGGGCAGCAGCUGCCCUGGGGUCUGGGGGUGAUGCUCACGAGUGAAUUCGGGCCCUCACACCGGUGAUGGCAAAGAUUAAAUUCCCAAAGUGGUGCCCAAAGGUUUCGUGGCUGGAUUUUAGCAUCCAGAUGUGCCUGAGAAGCUGCCUCAAGACAACCUGGAUGCUAUAAAUCCCAGAGCCUCCAUCCAGGCUUUGGUAACAAAGCAGAGGAUGUAUCAAUUCCAGAAAAAAAAAUUAUUUUUGCCUCAACAGCAAGAAUUUUCCAGGAUCUUUUUCUUUCUCACUGCAUUUCAGCACCAUCUUAAGACCAUUAUGUAAAAAUAGAAACACUCCUUUACUCAUAUUUUUAUCCUCUCCUCAAUAUUUUUAGAGAAAUGUGAGGCUGACAUAACACAGAGUCAGAGAGUGAGAUUCUGUUACAAGUUUUAUUCUUCUGUGCCUAAAACCCAGUCACAACCAAAGAAUGUUGGGGAAACAUUCAGCUCUGCUCUGGGCUGAUUUCAAAACGGAAUUAUUCCUUCUUCUCUUGGAAUGACUGCCUACCUGCCUGCCUUGUGGGCAAUCAGCAUAAUCCUGUUUCGUUGCCUCUCAGCAAGAGGAAAAAUUAAAGCACAGUUCUGCUCCAGUGGAUUCAUCUUCUGCAGCUUUGAGUGGCAAGGAGCUCCCUGUGAUCCUUCUGUUCCAAUUUUUGGGGAUGUCAGCUUGCAGGGGAGAAGAGCUGCCUUAAUUGAUGGAAUAUUCUCUCCAAGACUAUUGUUUACCACCGAGGAAUACUCCUGCUCUGCAAGGACUUGUGGAUUUUUGUGGAGAAGAUGGCUGGGAUUUCGUGGAAACGCCUCGGUUUAUAAAAUUGUGUCAAUAGCAGCCUGUGCACCGCCACAAUUUCAUUUUCUGGGUGCUCUAAAGGUCAUUUUCACAAGGGGACAGGGACACCUCCCACUGUGCCUGGCCUUGGACACUCCCAGGAAUUCCUCCCCAAAAUUCCAUCUCCACAUCCCCUCCCCAGGCCUGAAACCAUCGCCCUUGUCCUGUCACCAUCUGCCCAUGCAAAUAAAAAUAAAGAUGCGAAAUCC